This is a long non-coding RNA of Astyanax mexicanus (Mexican tetra), 2244 nucleotides long. RefSeq lists it as uncharacterized. The record is from RefSeq and is a predicted model, not a curated record. NCBI's taxonomy places the organism in Eukaryota, Metazoa, Chordata, Actinopteri, Characiformes, Acestrorhamphidae. The transcript is spliced from 5 exons.
UGCCGGCAUUUAGAAAAGCCUGGACUUAUUCAACUCAGAAGUGUGGGCACAUGAACACUGAACGACACCAUGAAGACCCGAAUACUGGUGGAAUGUAAAGAGAGUGGUGUGGCGCGAUACGUUACAUCACAUCACAUUCCCGUUGAGGAGAAGGGUUCCCUCUGUCGAUGUGCUCUGACUGCAUGAGCUUGGAGACAGGCUCUGCAGCAGGCGCUCCAGAACACAUCUAAUCAUCAGUCCUCGUUGGAUUGAUGAUUGCUGGAGCUUGGCCAGGACCGCCUCAGCGAGGGAGCCUGUAUUUUAGCAGCUCUGCCUGCUUAAUGCACGCCAAGAGACCAUACAGCAAGUGUCAGGCUAAUCAGGUUAAUGCUAACGAGGCGGUUGGUCCUGUUACUGGGCGACUGUGGCAGUGUGAGUUUUUUUUGUUUGUUUUUUGUUUCUUAAAUGUUGCAGUAUUGGUCAAUUCAAGUUAGUGCUACCCUGUGAUAAAGAGAAACAUCAUGAACUUUCACCCUUACAUGAAAGUGCACGGUCCUAAAUCUGCUGAAAGUUAAAAGAAAAAGAAAAGAAAGGGGGUUAGAUAGCUGUGAGGGAGAGUAGAAGAGGUUAAUAAUAGUAAUAAAAAUGAUAUGACCACUAGACAUAAGAUCUUGUGCUUUAAUUUUUUUUGUUAAUUAAGAUCUAUGUUCUAUUUCUUUUUGUGCAAAACUAGGCUUACAUGUAAUUACACAUCUGUUAAUUAUUGCUUGUUUUUUUUUUUAUUCUCCAUAAUAAAUCUCUUCACCACUACAUUCAUGUAUCUAGUUAGACGACUGACAUAAACAUUAAUAGAACACUCACUCAACGUUAAUGUAACUACUUUCCAGCUCAUGGAUGAUUACCUCUAGUGAUUAUCAUUACAAAUGACAGAUGAUUAUAUCAGAUGAGUGCAGACAACGCGAAACGAACUCUUGCGCACCCGAAGCACAAACACCCAUUUCCAGAUACAUUAGGCAGUGACUGUUUAGAUAAUUUGCGACUUUUCUCCUCCAAAAAUAGGCCUUUUCUCCCGCCUUCUCUGUUCUAAUAAUCAUAUGUGUAUGUCUCUGAUUGUGUGUAGUACUGCUGAAUGUGCUUGCACUCUGUGUGCUUUUAUGUAUGUGUGUGUGUGUGCUCUGUGCUUGCAGGGGCUGAUGCCGUUAAUGUCAGGUUAACAUUUGGAUCCCUCAGGCUGUGUCUCUACUCUGUAAUCUCCAGGAUCAGGUCAUCUCCCUCCAGGCUGCUGUCAGCAUUCACGUACACUUUGGCCACGGUGCCGGACAGCGGUGAGUUGACCACCGUCUCCAUCUUCAUGGCGCUCAGCACACACAGAGGCUGGCCCUUCUCCACCUUCUGGCCCUCCUUCACCUUCACCUCCACUACCUUCCCAGGCAUCGGUGCACCCACCUGCCCCCGCACAUCCUUCAGAGCCUUUGGAUGGAAGUGCAUCUCCUACAAGAGCACACAACACGACAACAGCAGCUUCAGGAUCUGGCCAUAAAGAAUCCCCCAGAGCCAGAGCUUUUAUAUGGAGUGUUUUCCCUCUCUCCAGCUCAACCUGAGCAAAACAGCAGGAAUGGAGGGACAAAACAAAAGAGAAGAUAAAAGGAAAGGAAGAGGCGAGUGUUGAGACAGUCAACUGGACCGAAUGCAGUGGUGAAUUCCUUAAACUCCUGGAACACCUUUGGGUACAUGGCAGCCGACAUCACAUCCUCUGGAGUGAUGUCGUCUCCGUGCGUAUCACGCAGCUGCUUCUCCAAAGCCUGGAAGUCCAUAGGGGGCAGCGAGGCACCGGGACGUCCCUCUAUACGAGGAAGAGACUUCAGUACCUGCACCAAACGAGGGGAGGAAAACUGUGUCAAUGCAUCAGUCUGAAGAUCAAUCUGCAUUAUUUUUGAAAGAGGUUCCAGCCAGUUAAGUGGACUGCUUGCUAAAGUACUCGGAUAUUAAAAGUAAAGUUAGUUUUCUCCGAGUAGCGUGUUUAUCCGUCCAAUAAAGCUGUGGUAUAGAUUUGGUUGGCUGGCAUCAUGUAAUUUCUGAACAACAUGCUUGCCUUCACCCUCCUAACACAUGUAGCGAAGUGUGAGAAAGGUGUGUAGCUCUUUAUUAAAGUUGAGACAUAUGUACUUUAUUACUUUGUAAAGUUAAUACCUACAUCACAAAACACAUCCUACAAUAAAAUAAACAAAUAAAGUUAAUUAAAAAAAACAUAUUUAAAGAUGUAAA